Molecule: ribosomal RNA, 207 nt
Filed under: uncultured bacterium
Lineage: Bacteria
Description: partial 16S ribosomal RNA
Rfam family: Bacterial small subunit ribosomal RNA
Source: RNAcentral
CGCGUAGGCGGACGAUCAAGUCAGGGGUGAAAGGCCUGGGCUCAACCUGGGAACUGCCUUUGAAACUGAUAGUCUAGAGUCCGGGAGAGGAUAGCGGAAUUCCCAGUGUAGAGGUGAAAUUCGUAGAUAUUGGGAAGAACACCAGUGGCGAAGGCGGCUAUCUGGUCCGGAACUGACGCUGAGGCGCGAAAGCGUGGGGAGCAAACA